GCACUGCUGAAGAGUCCCAUACUAGGAUGAAACGGCCGUUUAGUGC
This 46-nucleotide non-coding RNA is filed under the name Schistosoma haematobium. The record is from RNAcentral. Lineage: Eukaryota; Metazoa; Platyhelminthes; Trematoda; Strigeidida; Schistosomatidae.